CGAAGCGUGCGAUUGGAUUGCACGUCUAAGCAGUAAGGCUGAGUAUUAGGCAAAUCCGGUACUCGUUAAGGCUGAGCUGUGAUGGGGAGAAGACAUUGUGUCUUCGAGUCGUUGAUUUCACACUGCCGAGAAAAGCCUCUAGAUAGAAAAUAGGUGCCCGUACCGCAAACCGACACAGGUAGUCAAGAUGAGAAUUCUAAGGUGAGCGAGCGAACUCUCGUUAAGGAACUCGGCAAAAUGACCCCGUAACUUCGGGAGAAGGGGUGCUCUUUAGGGUUAACGCCCAGAAGA
Molecule: ribosomal RNA, 291 nt
Filed under: Staphylococcus aureus
Lineage: Bacteria; Bacillati; Bacillota; Bacilli; Caryophanales; Staphylococcaceae
Description: partial 23S ribosomal RNA
Rfam family: Bacterial large subunit ribosomal RNA
Source: RNAcentral